Phascolarctos cinereus (koala) is the source of this 602-nucleotide non-coding RNA. Lineage: Eukaryota; Metazoa; Chordata; Mammalia; Diprotodontia; Phascolarctidae. The record is from RefSeq and is a predicted model, not a curated record.
GCGAACAGAAAGGCAGCUCGACAGCCCAGGACUGCACCAAGGAGACAGUCACAAGCUGGCUCCCUUCAGCAUGAUUUUGUUUAUACAACUGAGGGCUGAAGAGUUUUGCAAUUUUCACGAAGGGAAAAUAUCCUUUGAUGUCUUCCUUACAGUUGGCAAGAAAAUAAGAGUUCUUUACCUGGCUCUGGCUUUACCAUAGCCCAAUCUCAAAGGAUUAUAAUCUAAUUCAAUGAAAUAAAUACCUGGCCUCCCUAGUCCCCGAGACACAACAAUGUUGAAGAAUUUUACAUAUACUUAGUUGAUAAAGCAGUGCAAGGUUUGUGAGGAUUGACUCCAAAAUACUAUCAAACAGCAUCACGUGCCACAGAGAAAUUUUUCAUGCAAGGAAGAGUCAAUCAAUGCAGCAAACUUCAUUGUUGUCUUACUUUAAGAAAUUGCCACAGCUACCCCAUUCUUCAAUAACUACCACCCUGAUCAGUCAGCAACCAUCAACAUCGAGGCAAGACCCUCCACCGACAAAAAGUUUAUGACUCACUGAAGGUUCAGAUAACGGUUAACAUUUUUCUUAUAGUAAAGUAUUUUUUAAUCAAGGUAUGUGCAUU